This 301-nucleotide ribosomal RNA is filed under the name uncultured bacterium. Its description in RNAcentral is "partial 16S ribosomal RNA". It matches the Rfam family "Bacterial small subunit ribosomal RNA", at positions 509 to 809 of the family's 1533-position model. The record is from RNAcentral.
CAGCCGCCGCGGGAAUACGGAGGGUGCAAGCGUUAAUCGGAAUUACUGGGCGUAAAGCGCACGCAGGCGGUCUGUCAAGUCGGAUGUGAAAUCCCCGGGCUCAACCUGGGAACUGCAUUCGAAACUGGCAGGCUAGAGUCUUGUAGAGGGGGGUAGAAUUCCAGGUGUAGCGGUGAAAUGCGUAGAGAUCUGGAGGAAUACCGGUGGCGAAGGCGGCCCCCUGGACAAAGACUGACGCUCAGGUGCGAAAGCGUGGGGAGCAAACAGGAUUAGAUACCCCGGUAGUCCCUGUCUCUUAUAA